Molecule: ribosomal RNA, 550 nt
Filed under: uncultured bacterium
Lineage: Bacteria
Description: partial 16S ribosomal RNA
Rfam family: Bacterial small subunit ribosomal RNA
Source: RNAcentral
UGGGGAAUAUUGCACAAUGGGCGAAAGCCUGAUGCAGCAACGCCGCGUGAGUGAUGAAGGCCUUCGGGCUGUAAAGCUCUGUCUUUUGGGACGAUAAUGACGGUACCAAAGGAGGAAGCCACGGCUAACUACGUGCCAGCAGCCGCGGUAAUACGUAGGUGGCAAGCGUUGUCCGGAUUUACUGGGCGUAAAGGAUGCGUAGGCGGAUUUUUAAGUGAGAUGUGAAAUACCCGGGCUUAACUUGGGUGCUGCAUUUCAAACUGGGAAUCUAGAGUGCGGGAGAGGAGAAUGGAAUUCCUAGUGUAGCGGUGAAAUGCGUAGAGAUUAGGAAGAACACCAGUGGCGAAGGCGAUUCUCUGGACCGUAACUGACGCUGAGGCAUGAAAGCGUGGGUAGCAAACAGGAUUAGAUACCCUGGUAGUCCACGCCGUAAACGAUGAGUACUAGGUGUAGGAGGUAUCGACCCCUUCUGUGCCGCAGUUAACACAAUAAGUACUCCGCCUGGGAAGUACGAUCGCAAGAUUAAAAACUUAAAUGAAUUGACGGGGGU